This is a long non-coding RNA of Ornithodoros turicata, 1415 nucleotides long. RefSeq lists it as uncharacterized. The record is from RefSeq and is a predicted model, not a curated record. The transcript is spliced from 3 exons. NCBI's taxonomy places the organism in Eukaryota, Metazoa, Arthropoda, Arachnida, Ixodida, Argasidae.
CGUAUGCCGAGCUUGCGAACUGCGAACUUGUGUGACUCCCGGUUCAUCCUCUUUGUUCGGGUCAUUGGGUUGGUGUUGGAGUUGGUCACCAUAUUCUGAACGUUUCACCUAUCGUUGCGGUGUACUGUUCUUGAUCUGCUGCGAAGCGAUGAACCGCAACGGCAGUCACUCGCCUCAGCGAACUUCUGUCUGCUGCAUCUCAAAGGAGCAUGGGGACCUGAUGAUACCUUCAACUAAAGAAACCAAAUGUGCUCUCGUGUGGUCCUGACGGAAAAGUAGUAUCAACAAGAACCCUCCACUUUUUCGACCAAGUUAUCGUUAUGAGAUCCUUCUGAUGGCUUCUUACUAGGCUAUGCCGCUCCGAAGCAUUGAGAUGACGAAGCGUCGUGGUAGCUGCACCUCUGCCUUCGAAAGAUGAAUCAGUCAUUCCACACUGUGCUUACUGGCUUUGUGUAGAGUCUGGCAAAUCCGACAGACUUGGACUGCCUUUUUCAAGAAAGUUUGAAAUAGCAUCCCUUAUGCACCUGCAUUUCAAUUCCAAUCUGUAUUACAAGAAUGACACCACUCAACAGAGAUGAACAUCUGAAAGUGAAAGAGCUGGAAUGAAGAUACGUUAAUCUGUGUCAAAGGUUCUUAGUAUGUGUGCGAGUCGAGGACAUAGGUCUCAAGCUUAUUCCUGUCUUCAGAAGAGGUGACAACUAUGCUCCUUCUAUCUAUUAACCAGCUCCACUUUUUAGGGUUCCCUGUAAACUAAUGGAGCACAUCAUGUACUACCACGUUGUCAACUAAGUUGACUCUGCCAAUUUCUUUUUUUAAAUUCCAGCAUGGCUUUAGAAAAGGGUAUUCAGGCAAAACUAACGUAGUGGAAUUCGUUCACAGCAUUUCAAACUGUCUUGAUUUCUGGGUCCAUGUAGAUGUAGUAUUCUUUUUAUUUUGUAAGGGCUUUUGACACUGUGCUCUACGCUCGCGUGUUGGCCAAAGUAGCCUAAUUAAAAUUUGAUCCUGCUACCUGGAUAUGCAGUUUCUCAACUAACCGUAACUGUGGCGACAACUCGUGAGGAGAACCUAUCAUAUCGCCACCAUGCAGCAUUUGUUAUAUUACAAUCGCUUCACAUUUUAAUCUAGUCAAAAGCAAGGCCUUUUGGUGAUCGGUCUUGUAUAAUUACGUGCCCCUCCGUUAUGUAACACCACACUGGGUUCUUCAAUCUAUGAGAGAGAAAUAAAUAUAUUGCCAAGUAAAUUGUCUACAAGGCUCGUUAUUCCAUUUCGCCACACUACCACAAGCAAUUGUUAGAGUAGUGGCCCAGGGUAUGAAGCUCGCCACUAAUCAUCAUUCAAACAAAGUUCAUAAUGUAAAAUGCUUUACUCAGAACACUGGCUUAACACAACAAUUAAGAAUAAAGAGAGUAAACGUU